This 670-nucleotide ribosomal RNA is filed under the name Bacillus sp. (in: firmicutes). Its description in RNAcentral is "bacterial SSU rRNA". It matches the Rfam family "Bacterial small subunit ribosomal RNA", at positions 257 to 917 of the family's 1533-position model. The record is from RNAcentral. Lineage: Bacteria; Bacillati; Bacillota; Bacilli; Caryophanales; Bacillaceae.
GUAACGGCUCACCAAGGCGACGAUGCGUAGCCGACCUGAGAGGGUGAUCGGCCACACUGGGACUGAGACACGGCCCAGACUCCUACGGGAGGCAGCAGUAGGGAAUCUUCCGCAAUGGACGAAAGUCUGACGGAGCAACGCCGCGUGAGUGAUGAAGGUUUUCGGAUCGUAAAACUCUGUUGUUAGGGAAGAACAAGUACCGUUCGAAUAGGGCGGUACCUUGACGGUACCUAACCAGAAAGCCACGGCUAACUACGUGCCAGCAGCCGCGGUAAUACGUAGGUGGCAAGCGUUGUCCGGAAUUAUUGGGCGUAAAGCGCGCGCAGGCGGUUUCUUAAGUCUGAUGUGAAAGCCCCCGGCUCAACCGGGGAGGGUCAUUGGAAACUGGGGAACUUGAGUGCAGAAGAGGAGAGUGGAAUUCCACGUGUAGCGGUGAAAUGCGUAGAGAUGUGGAGGAACACCAGUGGCGAAGGCGACUCUCUGGUCUGUAACUGACGCUGAGGCGCGAAAGCGUGGGGAGCGAACAGGAUUAGAUACCCUGGUAGUCCACGCCGUAAACGAUGAGUGCUAAGUGUUAGAGGGUUUCCGCCCUUUAGUGCUGCAGCAAACGCAUUAAGCACUCCGCCUGGGGAGUACGGUCGCAAGACUGAAACUCAAAUGAAUUGACGGA